UCACCUCUCAAAGCUUAUAGCUUUGAUCAAGUGUAGUAUCUGUUCUAGCCAGAGUAAAAUCUGGUUAAUAACUCAUCAGAGUUAAAUGGCUGAUGCACAAUCGUUGAAUAAGCUUGCUUUUUCUUGAUUGUAUCACAUCAGUCAUGACUAGUAAGUUGUUUGUUCCAAUCUUACUAGUCACUUUUU
Anncaliia algerae PRA109 is the source of this 186-nucleotide non-coding RNA. Lineage: Eukaryota; Fungi; Microsporidia; Tubulinosematidae. The record is from Rfam.